CCCUUUCAUGUACUGAGCCUCUACGUGGCGAAAGGGAUCAACAGAUUUACUAGUCUGGCUAAUCAGUA
This 68-nucleotide non-coding RNA is filed under the name Caenorhabditis briggsae. The record is from RNAcentral. Lineage: Eukaryota; Metazoa; Nematoda; Chromadorea; Rhabditida; Rhabditidae.